UACGUAGGGCGCAAGCGUUGUCCGGAAUUAUUGGGCGUAAAGAGCUCGUAGGCGGUCUGUUACGUCCGCUGUGAAAACCCAGGGCUUAACCCUGGGCUUGCAGUGGAUACGGGUAGACUAGAGGCAGGUAGGGGAGAACGGAAUUCCCGGUGUAGCGGUGAAAUGCGCAGAUAUCGGGAGGAACACCGGUGGCGAAGGCGGUUCUCUGGGCCUGUACUGACGCUGAGGAGCGAAAGCGUGGGGAGCGAACAGG
RNAcentral lists this ribosomal RNA (253 nucleotides) under uncultured bacterium. RNAcentral describes it as "partial 16S ribosomal RNA". It matches the Rfam family "Bacterial small subunit ribosomal RNA", at positions 524 to 776 of the family's 1533-position model. The record is from RNAcentral.